This 255-nucleotide ribosomal RNA is filed under the name uncultured bacterium. RNAcentral describes it as "partial 16S ribosomal RNA". It matches the Rfam family "Bacterial small subunit ribosomal RNA", at positions 524 to 776 of the family's 1533-position model. The record is from RNAcentral.
UACGAAGGGGGCUAGCGUUGCUCGGAAUCACUGGGCGUAAAGGGUGCGUAGGCGGAACGUCUUAAGUCAGGGUGAAAGCCUGAGGCUCAACCUCAGAACUGCCUUUGAUACUGAGAGUCUCGAGACCGGAAGAGGUAAGUGGAACUGCGAGUGAGAGGUGAAAUUCGUAGAUAUUCGCAAGAACACCAGUGGCGAAGGCGGCUUACUGGUCCGGUUCUGGACGCUGAGGCACGGAAAGCGUGGGGAGCAAACAGG